CAUUCUUUCUUCUGCACAUAUUGUCGCAAGAGCACGAUAGAGGUGUAUCCCAAGUGCUGGCACGAAGAAGAAGGGCUGUUUCUUAGUCUAAAAAACUGAGAGCCUAAGGGGGGGGUAAGACGGGUGCCAGCCGCCGCGGAAAUACCUGCAGCUCAGGGGGGGGCCCCUUUUUUUGGGCCUAAAACGUCCGUAGCCUGUUUAGUAAAUGCUUGGGUAAAUUGUGUAGCUUACCUAUACAAACCCCGGGUAGACUGCUAAAUUUGGGACCGGGGAGGGCUGGAGGUCCUCCUGGGGUAGGGGGGAAAUUCUGUAAUCCUAGGGGGACCACCAGGGGCGAAGGGUUCUAGCUAAAACGGGCUGACGGUGAGGAACAAACCCCUGGGGGGAAACGGAAUUAAAUACCCGGGAAGUCGGGGGGUAAACCCUGUUUGCUUGAUGUUAGUUGGGCUCCGAGCCAAACUGGUGCGGGGAAGAAAUUGUAAAGCAAGCUGCUUGGAAAGAACGGUCGCAAGAUUGAAACUUAAAGGAAUUGGGGGGAAAAGGGCGAAUCGUUUAACCUGCGGGACUAGUCCUUUUAGGGAGGGUAUUUCUGAGCUUGGGGAACCAUGGCCAUAGCUGUUCCCCGGAG
RNAcentral lists this ribosomal RNA (628 nucleotides) under uncultured archaeon. RNAcentral describes it as "partial 16S ribosomal RNA". It matches the Rfam family "Archaeal small subunit ribosomal RNA", at positions 343 to 963 of the family's 1478-position model. The record is from RNAcentral.